RNAcentral lists this ribosomal RNA (465 nucleotides) under Vreelandella stevensii. Its description in RNAcentral is "partial 16S ribosomal RNA". It matches the Rfam family "Bacterial small subunit ribosomal RNA", at positions 338 to 795 of the family's 1533-position model. Lineage: Bacteria; Pseudomonadati; Pseudomonadota; Gammaproteobacteria; Oceanospirillales; Halomonadaceae. The record is from RNAcentral.
CCUACGUGUGGCAGCAGUGGGGAAUAUUGGACAAUGGGCGAAAGCCUGAUCCAGCCAUGCCGCGUGUGUGAAGAAGGCCUUCGGGUUGUAAAGCACUUUCAGUGGGGAAGAAAGCCUUGGGGCUAAUACCCUCGAGGAAGGACAUCACCCACAGAAGAAGCACCGGCUAACUCCGUGCCAGCAGCCGCGGUAAUACGGAGGGUGCGAGCGUUAAUCGGAAUUACUGGGCGUAAAGCGCGCGUAGGCGGUCUGAUAAGCCGGUUGUGAAAGCCCCGGGCUCAACCUGGGAACGGCAUCCGGAACUGUCAGGCUAGAGUGCAGGAGAGGAAGGUAGAAUUCCCGGUGUAGCGGUGAAAUGCGUAGAGAUCGGAAGGAAUACCAGUGGCGAAGGCGGCCUUCUGGACUGACACUGACGCUGAGGUGCGAAAGCGUGGGUAGCAAACAGGAUUAGAUACCCAGGUAGUC